GACGAACGCUGGCGGCGUGCUUAACACAUGCAAGUCGUACGGUAAGGCCCUUUCGGGGGUCCCCGAGUGGCGAACGGGUGAGUAACACGUGAGUAACCUGCCCACAACUUUGGGAUAACGCUAGUAAACUGGUGCUAAUACUGGAUAUGUGCCCCUGCUGCAUGGUGGGGGUUGGAAAGCUCCGGCGGUGGUGGAUGGGCUCGCGGCCUAUCGGCGUGUUGGUGGGGUAGUGGCCUACCGAGGCGGCGACGGGUAGCUGGCCAGAGGGAGUGACCGGCGACAUUGGGUCUGAGAGACGGCCCAGGCGCCUACGGGAGGAAGCAGUGGGGAAUACUGCACAAGGGGCGCCAGCCUGAUGCAGCAGCGCCGCGUGCGGGAUGACGGCCUUCGGGUUGUAGACCGCUUUCAGCAGGGACGAAGCUUUUUGUGACGGUACCUGCAGAAGAAGCACCGGCUAACUACGUG
This 465-nucleotide ribosomal RNA is filed under the name uncultured bacterium. Its description in RNAcentral is "partial 16S ribosomal RNA". It matches the Rfam family "Bacterial small subunit ribosomal RNA", at positions 28 to 507 of the family's 1533-position model. The record is from RNAcentral.